ACGACCUCCGCUGGCUUCCGUCGUCCUAGCGGCCGCAACACUUGGAGCCGAUCUCCAAGACCGGUGCCAAACGAACCACCACUCGACCGCCAACAUUUCCAGACCCGUCGCCGCCGCUUCCGUGGCCGGAGUUCGCCGGAAACGGCCAUUGUUUACCGAUUUCCAGUUCAAACUUCCAGCUCGUUUUUUCUCCUUCAAUUCUCCACCAAAUCGAUCGAGUAAGAGGUCCAGUCGACCCGCAGGAGGGACCUUCGAAGGGUCCAGUUAGCUCGGACCAUCAGCCGUAGAAGUACGAAGGAAAUCACUCGGGCCAUCUUCCCAGCUUUCGCCCCACCACCAAAGUGUAGGAUCUCGUUGUACAUUCUUAUAGUUUUGUAAAUUUGUAGAAAAGCUCUCAUAUCUAGUUGAAACUGAGAUUAUUGAAGUUGAGAUCUGUUGUUUGAGA
Long non-coding RNA from Prunus persica (peach), 445 nucleotides. RefSeq lists it as uncharacterized. The record is from RefSeq and is a predicted model, not a curated record. The transcript has 3 exons. NCBI's taxonomy places the organism in Eukaryota, Viridiplantae, Streptophyta, Magnoliopsida, Rosales, Rosaceae.